GACUACCGGGGUAUCUAAUCCUGUUUGCUCCCCACGCUUUCGAGCCUCAGCGUCAGUUACAGUCCAGUAAGCCGCCUUCGCCACUGGUGUUCCUCCUAAUAUCUACGCAUUUCACCGCUACACUAGGAAUUCCACUUACCUCUCCUGCACUCCAGCACCACAGUUUCCAAAGCAGUCCCGGGGUUGAGCCCCGGGCUUUCACUCCAGACUUGCAGUGCCGUCUACGCUCCCUUUACACCCAGUAAAUCCGGAUAACGCUUGCCCCCUACGUAUUACCGCGGCUGCUGGCACGUAGUUAGCCGGGGCUUCUUAGUCAGGUACCGUCAUUUUCUUCCCUGCUGAUAGAGCUUUACAUACCGAAAUACUUCUUCACUCACGCGGCGUCGCUGGAUCAGGGUUUCCCCCAUUGUCCAAUAUUCCCCACUGCAGCCUCCCGUAGG
RNAcentral lists this ribosomal RNA (440 nucleotides) under uncultured Clostridium sp. RNAcentral's name for it is "partial 16S ribosomal RNA". The record is from RNAcentral. Lineage: Bacteria; Bacillati; Bacillota; Clostridia; Eubacteriales; Clostridiaceae.